CCCCCCCCCCCCCCCCCCCCCCCCCCCCCCCCCCCCCCCCCCCCCCCCCCCCCCCCCCCCCCCCCCCCCCCCGGCCGCCCGCGAUGUUCGGGGCGGGCAGGUACAGCAUCCCGCGGCCCGUCACCAGAAACCUGGAGGACCUGGACUCGGUGCAGAGCGUCCUGCUGCACAGUGACCUUGAGCCUGAGUGGUUGGAUAGUGUGCAGAAAAAUGGAGAAUUAUUUUAUUUAGAAUUUAGUGAAAGUGAAGAAGAAAUUCUGCUUCAGAACAGCUGUCCAGAAAUGCCAGCAGUGAAUCAUGUCAGGUUUCGUGAAAAUGAAGCUGAAAUUAUUCAGGAGGGAUCACGAAAGGAAAGGAAGUAUGAACUGAAGAAAUGGACCAAAAUGCUAAAAAAGAAGAGUCUUUUACCAAAGGGUUCUGGUAAGAAAGGCAGUGGAACCUGCAAUGUUCUCCCCUCAGGUCCUACUUCCAUAUUGAAACACCGGUCUCCUCAGAAAAUGGGUGUCCCUGUUCAGCAAAAGUACAAAGAUGUGUCUGUUUAUGUAAAUCCCAGAAAACUCUACAGCGCUGAGGAAGAAGAGCAGCAGAGGCUGCUGGAGGCCUUGGUAGGGAUUGUCCAUCAGUCUUCAUGGAGCAGCAAAAGAGUGGAAAAACAAGGCAGGAGGGAUAAAGCCACCAGAGGAGUCAGUGAAGAGAAGCUUGUGGUACAUGGCUUGGUGCCAGGUAGUUCUGCAAUGAAAACAGGUCAAAUCCUGAUUGGAGAUGUUCUUGUUGCUGUAAAUGAUGUCGAUGUGAAUUCUGAAAACAUAGAGAGGGUUUUGUCUUGCAUUCCAGGUCCUAUGCAGGUUAAACUGACAUUUGAAACCUCGGUAUUUGAGCCUGAAGGAACUUCUGAGCAAAGGAACAAACAGACACAGUCAAGUAUGAACAACCUGGUUCGGCUCCUGUGGGGAGGGGACAGUGUGGACCUUCAGCAGGCUGCGCAGGACGUGCCUCACAUUGUCAUGUUCCUCACGCUGAAACUGGACUCUGAGACAUCCAAGGAUGAGCAAGAAAUUAUUUAUCAGUACCCCAUAUCUGAAGCAUCCCAAAAACUGAAAAGUGUGAGAGGGAUAUUUCUCACACUGUCUGACAUACUGGAAAGUGUUACUGGUACCGAGAUUAUCAGUUCCUCCCUUUUCUUAUGUGAAAAACUGGUUCAAGUUGUUUACUGGAAAGAAUCCGACAAGUUGCUUGUAAUUGGCCUUCCUGAAGAAAAUGUUAUUCUAACUUGGAGUUCAUGUUUGUCCAGUGCUUUUUGCCAGGUGGAAAAUGUUUCUCGCCUGGAUCACUUUUUCAACCUGUUCUUCCAGCGUGCCCUUCAUCCUGCGAGGCUGCAGCAGCAGGAUUCCUGCAGUGCCCUGUUCCUGGACAGCCUCCCAGGCCUGCGCUGGCUGACACUGCCUCAGGAAAUCAAGAUGGAAAUUGACACAGCACUGAGUGAUCUGGAAGCAGCUGACUUUGCAGAGCUGUCUGAAGACUAUUACGACAUGAGAAGAUUAUAUGUGAUCCUGGGCUCUUGUCUCUUUUACAAGGGUUACUUGAUUGGCAAUCACUUGCCAAAGGAAGACCUUCUUGAUGUGGGUCUCUACUGCCGGCACUACUGCCUGUUACCCCUGGCAGCAGAGCAGAGGAUUGGGCAGUUGGUGAUUUGGAGGGAGGUGUUCCCACAGCACCACCUCCAGCCCUGUGAGGAGGCAAGUCUGACAGGAUACAGGGAACCUGAAGCAAGAUACUUCCUACUGAUAGUUGGCUUGAGACACUUCGUCCUGUGUGUCCUGCUGGAGGCAGGGGGCUGUGCAUCCAGAGCUGUUGGGAAUCCAGGACCAGACUGUAUCUAUGUAGACCAGGUCAAAGCAACCAUACUGCAGCUGGAGGGAAUAGACGCCAGCAUAGAGGAAAGGCUGGACUCUCCCUCCAUCCCACCUGUAGCCUGUGCUGACUGGUUCCUUCCUGCAGCACGGGACAGACUGGAGGGCUUGAGCAAGCUGCAGAACUCCUGCAAAGCUGUGAGCAGUGCAGGGAGCAAGAGGAGCCUCUUUGGGGACAGCUGCCACAGCACACGGACGCAGAGCCCCCCGAGGAGCAGCGGGGCAGCCGAGCAGGGCGGCCAAGGGCCCGCCCAGGAGGAGAGCUCCAACCCACAGCCUGUGGGGGAGCAGGUCAGGCAACACGGGCACAGAGAACUGAUGAGAAAAAAACACAUCCUGCCAAACCCAUUUCAUUCAGGAAACCUUAAAAAGAACCCUUCAGAGAAAGAUACAGAACUUCUUAAUGCUAUCAAGUUGACAUCUGGUCCUGAGAAUACCCUCUUCCACUAUCUGUCUUUGGAGACAAUGCAAGGAAUUUUUAUUACUCCAACUCACAAAGAAGUAGCACAGCUUGGUGGCUCCAUCCACCCUCAGUUAAUUGAGAAUUUCUACCAGUGCUGCCUUUCAAUUCGUUCCAUUUUCCAGCAGUCCAUGAGGAAAGAGAAAAAGAAAAAGGCAGGGAGUGGGAUUUCAGAAUUUAGUAAGGCAGCUGAGGACCCAGGUCUGGUAAGAGAACAUGGACUUCUGUUUGAGUGCUCUCCUGAAAACUGGACUGACCAGAAGAAACCACCACCAACAAUGAACUACUGGGUUGUGGGGAGACUCAUUCUCCAUCCCAAACCUCAGGAGUGUUACGUGUGUUUCCAUGACUCAGUGACAGAAGCUGCUGUGGAACUGGCUUUUAAACUGUCCUUUGGCUUAGCUGCAUAG
This 2780-nucleotide long non-coding RNA is filed under the name Ficedula albicollis (Collared flycatcher). RNAcentral's name for it is "lncRNA (ENSFALG00000008142.2)". The record is from RNAcentral. Lineage: Eukaryota; Metazoa; Chordata; Aves; Passeriformes; Muscicapidae.